Molecule: unclassified non-coding RNA, 4906 nt
Filed under: Haliotis rufescens (red abalone)
Lineage: Eukaryota; Metazoa; Mollusca; Gastropoda; Lepetellida; Haliotidae
Description: uBX domain-containing protein 1-like, transcript variant X1
Source: RNAcentral
CAACUCUUGCCCCUGGAAAGUUUAUACCAAAAUUGGAACGUGUGAGACAAUCCAGCCAAGUCAACUAUGUCGUCCGAUGUCGAUACACUCAUGGAAAUGGGAUUUUCCAGGAACAAAGCGCAAAGGGCCUUGGCAAAAACCAAUUAUAAGGGAGUUCAGUUAGCUAUGGAUUGGUUGUUUGCCCAUGAUGGAGAUGCAGACAUUGAUGAACCUUUCGAAGCUCCCAAGGGAAAUGUUCUUGGUAAAACAGAAGAUCUCCCUGCCCCUCCCACAACUGCAGGGGGAGAGGGGCCGGACGCCCCAGGUGAAGAAAACAUGCAAGCCAGGUCACUCAAGUGUGAUGAGUGUGGCAAGUUGCUGAGGUCAGAGAUGGACGCUCAGGCCCAUGCAGCUCGCACACAACAUGCCAGCUUCUCUGAGAGCACAGAAGAGAUUAAACCCCUCACAGACGAGGAGAAGAAACAAAAGCUUCAAGAUCUACAGGACCGGUUGAAGCAGCGGCGGAUGGCGAAGGAUGAGGAGGAGAAGAAGGAGCAGAUCGCCCGGGAGAAGGCCCGGCGCACCACAAACAAGGAACUAGGCAUGGCCAAGCAGAAAAUUGAGGAGGAGGAGAUAAAGAAGAUAGCGGAGCAUAGAAGGCGGGAGAAGAUGGAGGAGAGGCAGGCCAGAGAGCGUGUGAGAGAGCAGAUAGCGAAGGACAAGGCUGACAGAGCUGCUAAGUUUGGCAAGACCAGCCAGCAUUCCCCCCCAUCAGCAGCCUGCCCCCCUGCUUCCACCCAGACAACAGGAGCAGCAGCAGCCCCCAAGGAGUACGACACCUGCCGACUACAGAUCCGGUUGACCAAUGGCCAAGUACUGACCCAAAGCUUCAAGGCUAAGGAACCUCUGGCAGCAGUGCGUCUGUACAUCGAGAUGAACCGGUCCGAUGGCACCGGACCCUUCUCUCUCCUGACAUCAUUCCCCCGUAAAGUCUUCUCCAGUGAAGACAUGGAGAAACCACUAGACACAUUAGGCUUAGUUCCAUCAGCUGUUUUGAUCGUGUCAAAGCCUCAGUGAUAAGGUUGUCAUCAAGCAAGCAUUCAUGUGGAUAGCAGAGCAAUGGUUUUAGUGUUACAUGUCAACAAGGCAUCUUUGGAACAUCAUUUUCCAGUUCCAAUUGUGAGGCAGGAUACAAAGUGUGUGCUCAAGAUGUUUCUCAGGAGAGACUGGUUUGUGGACUACAACACAGAGGAGGCGAAAUCAGGCUGACUCCCACAGUUGUGUUACACAAGUUACUGAAUAUCUCAAUCGAAUUGGAUAUCUUACAGUGUAGUGUUAUACAUUCUAAGAUCUUUAUAGUUUUAUGCCUUUGACACUGUAUACAGGAAAGUAACUUCUUAAGGUUUUUUGUGUCCAUCUUGUCAAGAUGUUUUAUUCAUCACUGUGAAAGGCAAACAAGGAAAAAGGAAGGCUAGUUAUUCUUCUCACAACAUCAUGUCCAUGAUGGUGGUAAUGUAUCAACUCAAACUAAUACUGUUUCUAGGAUCUCAGAUACACCACCAAUUCCAUUUUUAGAAAGGUUUUUGAAACAAAUCAAUCUGGCUUUUUCUGCUGGCUUGAUAAGCAUGAAUGGCCACGUAGUGUUGAUCUGUAACUCACAAGGAAGUGAAUGUUUUGUGCCGUAGUCAGGAAUAUUCCAGCUAUAUAAUGGCAGCCUAUAAAUAAUCAGCUCAGAUACAGCUGAACAAACGGGAGAGUGCGUGAUUGACAAUCCAUGGCGCUGGCCGGGGUGUACAGUGUGUCUUCAUUGCGACUGCAUGAUCCUCAUCUACACUGGCUCCUACAACAAGCAUGGAGCCACUGGAGACUGAGGUCAUGUUCUCUUGAGGAAUCCCCACAGUCGGUACCUUAUGAAAAUGAAGUAGGUGAUCUCUGAAGGAGCUUGCUUUGUGUGUUUGCAUUAUUUCUUGUCCAUUAAGUCAUAACAAAUUAUAUGGUCAAUGACCAUUACAGUUCUGCUGGUGUGUUUUCCACCAUCUCUGUGUAAAAUAUUAUUGCCAGUUUAGUGUUUGUCAAAGUGUUUUUAAUUUUGCUUCCUGUGAGAUUUCUCAUUUAAUGGACUGGGUGAGUUGGCCAGGUUUUGAGUGCCAUCACACCCUGACAGCAUGGAUCAUAAUGUCAUCCACUGGGUUGUCUUGUCCUGACUUGACUAUUUAAAGGUUGUCUUGUCGGACUUGACUAUUUAAAGGUUGUCUUGUCGGACUUGACUAAUUAUAGGUUGUCUUGUCUGGACUUGACUAUUUAAAGGUUGUCUUGUCCAGACUUGACUAUUUAAAGGUUGUCUUGUCCGGACUUGACUAUUUAAAGGUUGUCUUGUUGGACUUGACUAUUUAAAGGUUGUCCUGUCGGACUUGACUAUAUAAAGGUAGUCUUGUCCUGACUUGUCUAUUCAAAGGUAGUCUUGUCCAGACUUGUCUAUUUAAAGGUUGUCUUGUCCAGACUUGUCUAUUUAAAGGUUGUCUUGUCCAGACUUGACUAUAUAAAGGUAGUCUUGUCCAGACUUGUCUAUUCAAAGGUAGUCUUGUCCUGACUUGACUAUUUUAAGGUUGUCUUGUCGGACUUGUCUAUUUAAAGGUUGUCUUGUCGGACUUGUCUAUUUAAAGGUUGUCUUGUCGGACUUGACUAUUUAAAGGUUGUCUUGUCCAGACUUGACUAUUUAAAGGUUGUCUUGUCCAGACUUGUCUAUUCAAAGGUUGUCUUGUCCGGACUUGACUAUCUAAAGGUUGUCUUCAUACAGCUGGGAAAUUGCUGAGUGCUGCAUUAAACUACGAACAAACAUAUUUUAUCUUUUCAUUGUUAUCAACAUGCUCCAAAUUUGAAGUGUGAAAGUUUGUAAGAUCUAGUAGGUGUCUCCCAAAGUAAUUUGAUGUACUAGUUGGAAUUAGUUCAUGGUGUCAGUUGUGGGUUUGAAUCCCUUGGUCUAUGGGUGGGUGUCUUAUGUUUACCCUGGUGCAACUAAUUGCUCCCUGACAAUAUUAUCCAUAGGUGUGAUGUUCUCAUUGUGAAAGGACAUCUGAACUAGUCAGGUUCGAUUUAAGGAUCUUGAUUUACCUUGCUCCAGGUGCAUGUUUACGUGAAAGUCAAGUUGCACCAGACAAAACUAGGUUGCACCCUGGACCCAUAAGUUUUUCAAAGUUGAAACAAGGGCCGCUCUGCUGCCUGUGUCACAUUAAUUAAUGACAUAUUGCUGUCAAAUGUACAUGACACACAUUACACAUAACACAGAGAUUAAUGAAGUAGUAUGGUAAAUGAACCUUAGAGGCAGUGGGGGGGGACACAGGUCCCUGACUUGUUUUUGUUCUGUAUACAGACUAUGUCAGCAUGCUGUCAUUGUGAUGUCAUGGUGAGAAUGUCUCACCUCACAAAGGAGAUACCCGUUGUUUUGUUUCAUAUGGAUUUCAUUAUGUCUUUGGACAGUAUCAGAAACCACCAUUGUUAAGAUGAUCAAAAUGUGCACAGUACUUGUGAUCUUGUUUAUAUCAAUUUUAAUACAACUAAAUCAAAAUUAAGACACCAAAAUAUCCACGCAUCAUAAAGAUUUUUAAAAAUAAGACAAUAUAGCAUGAUAUAGUGUUAGGAUAACAUGAAUUUUGUUAUGUAGAGGCCAUUGUGCUGUACAGUGUACAGCAUUGUACAGAUGGUGUGAAUUUCCAUACACAUCAUAUAUGUAACAAAUGUUAUAUAUAACUCUCUUAGUAUGGCAAUUCACACACAUGUUCUGGCAUUGUGUGUUCAUGUUUGUUAGCAGAGCCUAUGUACAUAGAUGUGUUUGAUUCUGACAUACCAGGGUUUUGUUGAGAUGAAGAUAACAAUGAUAGUAACGUGAGCCCAGAGUUGGGAUGGACUUUACAGAAAUCUACCAGGUAACAAAUAUUUUGCAAACAAGGUUAAUAUGAUUUUAAAGGACCAUUCUGUGAAACCCAAGUACAUUUUUAAGAAAUAAUAAGAAUCUUGGGAAAAAACAUCACCAUGGUUACCGGAAUAUUGGCAGAAUCACAUGAUAAAAUCAUGUGUUUACCCUAAUAAUAUCACAUUAAAUCUCCUGUUGAUAUGCGGAGAUUCAGCAGCAUUGAAUAGGUUAGCCAGUGAUGACAUGAAUGAAUCAUGCAUUAAUCUGUUCUGGUAAUGUUCCUUGUAAAUAUGACUUACAGUACAUAUCUUAUCUUCAGACAAACUAUUCCACCACCAUUGAUUAUUGGCACAACAGUGAUAACAGCAGGUGUCUAUAGGCCAUCAACAAGAACUCUCUACUAACAAGGGAGUAGUCUGUCACUUCUGUCCAGGAAAUAGGAAAUUACAAAACAAAAUAUCACCUUCCUGCAGCAAGGGAGAUAACUGACUACAAAAGUCCAGUUUCAUCUCUUGCUGAACUAGGCUGGAGUUAUGGAGUUAUGUUUAUGCUGGACUAACGAGUCUAUGCAUAGUCCAGCCACAAUCUCAAAACGUAAUCAACAUCCGGUUCGUAAACUGCCAUGUAGAUUUCAGUUGAUUUCAUGAUUUGCAGAGCAUGUGUACCGUCAACAGUGCGUCCACAGAUAUUUUCGAAAUCUUUUCAUGGUUGUAAUCAAGGUGCUCAAGUGAUUUGAUGCACUAUGUGAAGUAAGACCCAUUUUAUUACAAUAUAGACUUGAUAAUUAAUCAAAUCGUCUUGACUGCGUGCCGCCAUUUUGUUUGAAGCAAAUGCAAGUAAUAUGAGAGGGGGAAUCUGAUCAGUCAGUAGAAGGGACUACAAUGGAGCCCAUAAAUUCCAGUCUAGUUCAGCAAGGUUGGAAACUGGACUUUUACAGUCAGUUAACUCACUUGCCUCGAGAAGAUGCAAAAUAUAGAAAAUGAAUUUUAUAAACAAUAUACAGUCAAGUCUCGUUAA